UUAAGUUGACAGAUCCGACGUUUGUAUUCGAAAUGUUUCUUCUUCAGUGUAGAAAGAACAUAUUUUCUUAUUUUUAUUUCUCAAUCUCUCUUGAUCUCCACCUUUUUACAUAUUGUCUCUGUAUAUUAAUCUCUCGCUUACUCAUAUACAAGGUUUCCUUCAAAGAACUCACGUCGUACAAUUUUUUUUUUAUAGGGUCCAUUUUCGUAUCCAACAAACAUAUAAACAAGGACUAUAGAGACAAGCAUCAAGUUUUGGCUAACAAAGAAGUUUUCACUAAUGUAAUUGAGUUCCACUAUGAAACUAUUGUUGGGCGUAUCAGAGAGCUUACAUUUAUGAAUCCAAAAGCAUGGACGAAAUACUAGUUAAUGAUAAAUCCCCUAGUUUUUGAAACCCAAGCCCAAGUAGAGAGAUGAUCAUUUUUGAAGUACGGAGAAACCGAGAGGUUGCAGAGAAGAGAGAGCUAAUCAGUUGUAUGGUAGCGGUGGUGCGAGGGAGAACGCCGGUUUGAGAGGCCUCUAGUACUAAUCAUGCCACAGCUGCAUCAAGCGAUAGGUUAGUUGGGGGUUCGAUUCCCGAAAGCUCUGUAUCUUGUUGCGAAUCUGCCUGUCAACAAUCAAGAAGAGAGCAUGAACCGAUCGAAAGGUGUUAGAGUGGAGCCUUGUAUUCCUCUCAUUCCAAAUCCAGUAGAGUGAUGCUUGCCAAGCCAGAAGUGUGAUCAGUCGGGAGUUAGCCCUAGGAGGCAGAGAUAGAAGUUGAUCGAUCGCAUGCUGCCAAUUGCGAAGAGGAGCAAACCCACAUCUAGCCGCCACACGCGUCCAUAGCUGAAACGCCAUAUCACAGUCCCAGUAGAUGUGAUCACGAGAUUCAGGAAAAACAUUACAGAGGAGACAAAGAGGCUGAACUUGCAGACCCCAUUGGAGUAGUCUAUCACGCGUCGGAAGACGACUUUUAAUCACUAGCCAGGAGUGGAAACCAUGCCGUGGAAUCCCUUUCUUUGGCCAAGCAAUAGGUGUCCAUCGUUCCUCUGCAACAUUCCCACAUAAGCAACGAGGUUAAGCUGAGCAUCAGAUCUUGCUGGCGGAAGCCUCCAUGAACCGUUGCGGAAGAGAGAUGCAAUCGUUGCUCUUACCGGUAUUCCUAAGCGAGAGUGUGAAGCUGCAAGAUAAGUUUCAAGGCAACCAAAGGGGCUCCAGUUAUCAGUCCAGAACCUACCCGUUCUUCCAUUCUGCACACACAAGCGGAUGAGAGGAAUCACUUCCUUAAACCAGCAAACCUACACUGAGUUGAGGCCGAAAGAAGAGCAUCCAAAUGAGGCGAAGGAUGCAUGCUUUGUUCCAAAUAUAAACAUCCUUCACUCCCAAUCCACCUUGCUCCUUCGUAAGCACGACAGUAUCCCAAGCCACACGAGCACUAUUCCUGCUCUCUAUGUCUCCUCUCCACCUUGCUCCUUCGUAAACCUUUUAAAUUAAAAACAUUAAAUCAAAUGAAAAAUAAAUUAAUUUAACAUGAAGUAACUCAGUUUUAUUUACAACUUUAUUAAAUUAAUUUAUUUUAUAUUGAUUUAAUUUGUAAUUUAUUUUUUCAUAUUUUUUAAAACACGUGAUAAAAUGUGUCAUAU
Molecule: long non-coding RNA, 1621 nt
Organism: Raphanus sativus (radish)
Lineage: Eukaryota; Viridiplantae; Streptophyta; Magnoliopsida; Brassicales; Brassicaceae
Exons: 5
Source: RefSeq, a predicted model, not a curated record